This is a long non-coding RNA of Tympanuchus pallidicinctus (lesser prairie-chicken), 1326 nucleotides long. RefSeq lists it as uncharacterized. The record is from RefSeq and is a predicted model, not a curated record. Lineage: Eukaryota; Metazoa; Chordata; Aves; Galliformes; Phasianidae. The transcript has 2 exons.
AUGAAAUGUAUUUUUAAUUGAAAAACUUGAAAUAUAUAUUUUUUUUUUCUUGAAGGAAAUAAUUCUGUGGCUUUCUGCUUUAAUCAAUGCCUGCAAGGGAAAUGCCACAGGAAUUUUGUCUCUUAUCUGUAGUGCUCAUUGUUUCUUCCAUGUUCUUCCAUCAGUGGGGUGAGAGAUCUAGUCUGUAUUUCAGCAGCAUGGUUAGCCUCCAAACAUGUUGCAGGGUUACUGAACGCUACACGUAAGAAUAUCCAGGUCAAGUUGUAACCCUUAGGAAGAAAAGGGUAACAGAGCCCAGAUCUGUAGAUUGAUCUUCAUGUUGUUGCUGGUCUGGAAAGAACAAGUAAGAUCUAAGAGCUCAGGGAAUAUAUCUAAUCUACUUCUUAGAUUAAUAGUAGAGGAAUAAACUUCACUUUUGCUGUUCUGAAAGCACUUUUCCCAAUCAUUGCAAAACCCAGUGCAGCCUCUCAAAGCAGAAAUGUUUAAACAGUCUGAAAGAAAGAGAACUCAAACUUGCAUAUGCAACAUCAUCUCCCAGUGAUUCUUGCCAUAAUCAUCCUGAAUAUACAAAUGGAUGUUUGUGUUGCUAGAAACACUGUGAUCUGGUGUAUGAGGUUAUGUGCAAGCACAACAAAUCUGCUUUUUCUGGCCAGUGUUGGUGAAUGGUGCACAAAGAAGUCACUUUAAAUGACUAAAAUGGGUAAGGACUUUGCCAAAGUAUCUACCAUCCUAGAAACUUUUGAAGGCUAUUUCCUUAAAAAUUUGAGAAGCUUGGUGACUUAUGGAAUGAUAUUGAGUCUUAAGAUAAAGCACAGAUUAAAGCAUAUCCAAAGGAUGAUAUUAACUUCAUGAAGGCAAAAAUGAAUAGUAGUAAAAAGCCCUCAAACACUGAUCCUCACAUGAUUGCUUUUAUUAUGUGAGGCUUGUUACAGUUUUCGUUGGAAAACGUUGAUUGUUAUGAAAAGAGAUGUCCACUAGAUGUCAUUCAUGUAAUCUAGUUGUUGUUGCAACAUUUUUAAGAAUCUAUUUAGGAUGGUAGGUACAAAUUAUCAGCAUUAUUAGCUGUUUUUGUAUAUGCUGUGCUACUGAUUUUAUGUAUAAGUUUGGGAUGUUACAAAUAAUGUUUGUAUUGUUUUGCCCAGUGAUGGUUGUGACACUUAUUAGCCUAGAACUCGUCUUCACGUGCAUCUCUCAUGUAAGAGCACUAAGGUGAGCUGUGUAUGGUUUGUAACUGUUCUGCAGGGAGAUAUAAGAUCACAGAGGUGAGGAUGGUGUCUCUAAGGAAAGCAGAAUUUCCCUGUGACUAAUAAAGUCCAUUUUACAUUU